This 132-nucleotide small nucleolar RNA is filed under the name Dasypus novemcinctus (nine-banded armadillo). RNAcentral describes it as "Small nucleolar RNA SNORA31 (ENSDNOG00000048594.1)". Lineage: Eukaryota; Metazoa; Chordata; Mammalia; Cingulata; Dasypodidae. The record is from RNAcentral.
AUGCAUCUUGACAGACCAGGAGCAGUUAAUGUCUACUGCUAAUGUUUCCACUGCAGAAGCAAGAAAAGAAAGGUCCUUGCACUUUCUGUCUCUCUGGUUGUGGCAGCCAAGAUUGAAUGGGGUAAUACAGGA